AAUACCUAAUCCCGUUUGUCUUCUCUCUCAUUCAAAGUCUCUUCCUCUCCUCUCCUUCUCUUUUGAAGUAGUGCCAACACCGUCGCCCAGUCCCGCCGCUGUCGCCCAUCCCCUCUUCAUGGAAAUCAGUAUGGGAUUAUAAUAUUUGUUAUGACUUCUUUCAAGGAAAACUGUUCUAUAGAGAUUAUUCCUAAUUUCCAGAAGAAAAAAUAAGAUCAAAGCCAAUAGAGGAUUGAAAGAAAGAAGAAGUGAUAUUUUGAUAAGAAAUAUUCGAGUCUUGAAAUCUCAUAUCUUUUAUAGAUUAUAUAUAUAUAUAUUUUUAGGAGGUUUAAAGGCUAUUUUGACAGAUCAAAAUAAAUUGGUAGUUGCUUUUCGUGGAAUUACUGUUUUAGCUGCAAGGAUUUACAUGACAAUGUAUGUAUUAAAUGCUAACAGGUUUUAUGUAACGGGGGUUUUCACUUAUUUAAAGUGUUUAUUGCCCAUUUUUUUGGAUUAAGCUUUGAGACGACAAUUUAUAUUUUUAGAUUUUUAGAUUAUCAAAUAUCUUUUCAUGAAGUUACACGUGCGGCCUUUUGGAGAGAAUUUGAUUUAUCUUCCAAAUUGAUUAUGAGUAUAAUUCUUGCUGUUUUUCUACAUUGGGAUUCAACUACGGACAAACAAUUUGGUUGUUUUGAUUGUAUUGUGCAAACUGAUGUCCUGAAAGAACAUAAAAAUGCAGAACUAAGAAAUAAUAAAAGUGAAGUUAGAGCCAUGGGUUCAAACUAGAGGGAAUGGAAUAAGUUCAAACUAGAGGUUGAUCUCUCUUGAAGCAUUAAUGAUGGGAUAGUUAAUGGAUGUUCUCCCUUGAAAGAUACCUAUAUCAUCCAUGUAGCACUAUAUUUUAAGUUGUCAGGCUUGACAAUGGUGGGAUAGUUAAAGGAUGUUCUAUCUUUUUUUUUUUCCAAUGCUUUGUUGAUUUUCAGUGUUUUUAUUUUUCAUUUGUUUGAUUUAUGACCCCUUCCAAUUUUAUAUAUUGUAGGCUGAUAUUUGAUAUUUGUCUAGUAUUAAUAUUUGUUGUAGUGAGUAUUUCACAUUCAUAUAUCUAUACAGUUGUCGGUUAUUUUAUCUAUAUCAUUGAUUCAUCGUAAUGAUUUUUAGAAAAGUUGUGUGACUACCUAUUUCACCAAUGUAAUGCAUGUUAGAGUUAAUUAGAAAGAAAUGUGGGAGUUAAUGUUAAUAUUUUCUUAAUUGUUUGUUUUAUUUGGUUGAAGGAAUAGCUUGUGGGAGCAACAUUUUGAGAAAGGAGAAUGUAUAGGGAAGAGUUUUGGUGUACUUUCGACAUGUAUGAGGUUGAUGUAAUGUGUAAUGUGAAUAUAGUUUGUUGUGUCAGUCUGAAACAUAUGUUCCAUUAUCUUAUUAUAGUUAUAGACUUGUAUAUAGUAUUUGUAUAAAAUAUCAUAAUGUACAAAUUUGAUCCUACUUAAUUUUGUAUAUGUAUAUGAAGACUUUGAUCUUAUUAUAUGAAACUUUGUUACAUUUUAUAAUUUACA
Molecule: long non-coding RNA, 1529 nt
Organism: Momordica charantia (bitter melon)
Lineage: Eukaryota; Viridiplantae; Streptophyta; Magnoliopsida; Cucurbitales; Cucurbitaceae
Source: RefSeq, a predicted model, not a curated record